CUGAUCGCAGCUGGCAGGACUGGGGGCGGGGGGCGGGCUCGGCCUCGGCACACCGUGAUUGGGCGCGGGUGGGUGCGGGGCCUCUGUGCCCGGAACCCCCGCCUCCAGCCCCCAGAGGCUUCCCUUACACCCGCCAGCAAAGAGAGGCGAGAACUGAGGUGCAGAGCAGCUUAAGGAAUCUUAAUUCUCCAACCAAGGAUUGAACUGGGGCCACUGCAGUCAAAGAGCAGAGUCCUAACCACUGGCCCGCCACGAAGUUCCUGAGAGGCAUCUUUCAAGUGUAUAACGGCUAAGCCCCCUGAGAUCUAGAAUCAGAUCUGUGCCAACUUGGUAGCCCAGUGACAGUGGAUUUUCAGCAAACGGUUGUUGAGAACAAGUGCGUGAAGGCAUGAGCAUGUCUCUGCUCCAUCCAGACUUUGAUGCUCCAUGUGCGGUGUUAGGAGGGGCAGCAGCUCCACCUCGGAUCAUCAGGCAUUGGAUCCCAGAGGUUGGGGACCCCUGCUUUAGACCACUCAGGAUGCACAUGCCAAGUCCUGGGGACAGAGCGUGAACAAGGGGACAAGACGCCUGCCCGCAGCGGGCUGACAGUCUAGAGGGGUAGGAGGGAAACACGAAGACACAUUGAUAAAUACGUUAUGAAAUAUAAUUUCAGAGCCAGAUAAAUGCUCUAGCGAGUGAUGUGAUGGAGACUAAUGGAAGGGUGGGCUGGGGGUUGUGUGAGAGAGGAGGUCAGGGCAGCACAUGCUGUGAGGAUGCAGAGAAGCCCGUCAAGGAAAAGCAUUGUGGGGGUGGGGAACAGUCAAGGCAAAGGCUUGAGGUGGGAUGGAAGAGACCAGGGAGGCGGGGAGGGGAAGAUGUGGUAAAGGAGGGGCCCAAGGGGUGGACCACCCUGGUGAGCAUGUCAGCUGGGGAGGCCUGACAAGGGUGAGACCUGGCGAUGGGCUUCGUUCCCCAGACCUACCAGAAUCUCCCUUCUUGCUCAGCUGGAAACCCCCUCCCCCGGAGUUCCCUAUUUUAGCCCUUUCUAGCCUUUCUGCCUCCUUCACCCCCAUAACAGGUACUCCCUGGGCUGGAAUUUCCCCAAGAUGCGCAGUCAGGGAGGGGAAAUAACACCCAUCAUUGUCAAGACCAUCAGUGCUGGGAUCUCCUAACCCAGUGCCCUGGCCCCUGCUGGGUGCGCUGUGACUUGGGCCCUCGGCUCCUCACAAGGGGACCCUUCAGGUUUUACGGUCCCCAUUCUACAGACCAGGAGACCCAGACGCAGUGUGACUGGCUCAAGGCCAUGUGGCCCAAAAGCAGGAGCCAAGAUUUAAAUGCAGCUCAGUCUCAUCCUGAAAGUCAAAGUGUUAGUCGCUCAGUCGAGUCCGACUCUUUGUGACCCAGGUGGACUGUCCAUGCGAAUCCUCCAGGGCAGAAUACUGGAGUGGGUUGCUGUUCCUUUCUCUAGGGAAUCUUCUUGACUCAGGGAUCGAACUCAGGUCUCCCGCAUGGAGGGCAGUUUCUUUAUCAUCUGAGCCACCAGGGAAGCCCUAGUCUCAUGCUAAAGCUUGGGCAGAGCCUACUCAAGUCUCGCGAGAGUUUCAGGAUCCCAGGAGAUCCAGAUUCCUCCGCCUCUUUCCUACCUGCCUUGCUUCACUGCCGCCAUGUGGGUAAGUGUUGCCGCCAGUUUCCCAGUUGCUGAAGCAGACACCCCAGAGUCAUUCUGAGCCCUUGGCUGCCCGCCUCUACCAGGGGCUGGUCGCGAAAUGCCCCUUAUGGGCUCUGUUGCAGCUUUAACACCCAGCAUAUCUGACUAGUGGUUCUCUCUCCCUCUUGAGACAAAAAAAAAAAAAAAAAAAAGAGGAAAUUAAAUUGUGGCAGGUUAUCAUUGAUCUAGAGAAAGCCGCACAAGGUCUGUGGUCACCUUUUUUUUAAAGAUACACGUCACACGAUUGCGCUAAGUGCAGUGGGUAGGCGACCAGGCCAGCCGGCUGAUCUCUGGUGUCCCUAAAGAAUACCUCAGGCCCCGGCGGCUGACGGUGCCCACCCAGAGGGGCUCUGGGGAGGUGGGGGCCCUCACAGCCCACCCCCUUCUGCGGGAGAAGCCAUAGAGGGCUCAGAGUCACUGCUGCCCCUCCUUGUCCUCUUUGGGGGCAAUAAUCUGAAACUGUGGUGAUGGAUGCAUAACUCCAUGAAGACACAAAACCACUGAAUUGUACUCUUUAAUGGGGAAUCACGUGGUAUGUGAAUUACAACUCAAUUUAUCUAGUUAAAAAAAGAAAAAAAGAACAACAAACACAAGU
Long non-coding RNA from Bubalus bubalis (water buffalo), 2282 nucleotides. RefSeq lists it as uncharacterized. The transcript is spliced from 4 exons. The record is from RefSeq and is a predicted model, not a curated record. Lineage: Eukaryota; Metazoa; Chordata; Mammalia; Artiodactyla; Bovidae.